CCAGACUCCUACGGGAGGCAGCAGUGGGGAAUAUUGGGCAAUGGAGGCAACUCCUACCCAGCAAUGCCGCGUGAAUGAAGAAGGUCUUCGGAUUGUAAAGUUCUUUAAUUGGGGACGAAAAAAAUGACGGUACCCAAGGAAUAAGCCCCGGCUAACUACGUGCCAGCAGCCGCGGUAAUACGUAGGGGGCAAGCGUUAUCCGGAUUUACUGGGUGUAAAGGGUGCGCAGGUGGCAGGGCAAGUCAGAUGUGAAAGCCCGGGGCUCAACCCCGGUAUUGCAUUUGAAACUGUCCGGCUAGAGUGCAGGAGAGGUAAGCGGAAUUCCUAGUGUAGCGGUGAAAUGCGUAGAUAUUAGGAGGAACACCAGUGGCGAAGGCGGCUUACUGGACUGUAACUAACACUGAGGCACGAAAGCGUGGGGAGCAAACAGGAUUAGAUACCCCUGUAU
RNAcentral lists this ribosomal RNA (448 nucleotides) under uncultured bacterium. RNAcentral describes it as "bacterial SSU rRNA". It matches the Rfam family "Bacterial small subunit ribosomal RNA", at positions 331 to 793 of the family's 1533-position model. The record is from RNAcentral.